GAUGAACGCUGGCGGCGUGCCUAAUACAUGCAAGUCGAGCGAACGGACGAGAAGCUUGCUUCUCUGAUGUUAGCGGCGGACGGGUGAGUAACACGUGGAUAACCUACCUAUAAGACUGGGAUAACUUCGGGAAACCGGAGCUAAUACCGGAUAAUAUUUUGAACCGCAGGGUUCAAAAGUGAAAGACGGUCUUGCUGUCACUUAUAGAUGGAUCCGCGCUGCAUUAGCUAGUUGGUAAGGUAACGGCUUACCAAGGCAACGAUGCAUAGCCGACCUGAGAGGGUGAUCGGCCACACUGGAACUGGGACACGGUCCAGACUCCUACGGGAGGCCGCAGUAGGGAAUCUUCCGCAAUGGGCGAAAGCCUGACGGAGCAACGCCGCGUGAGUUAUGAAGGUCUUCGGAUCGUAAAGCUCUGUUAUUAGGGAAGAACAUAUGUGUAAGUAACUGUGCACAUCGUGACGGUACCUAAUCAGAAAGCCACGGCUAACUACGUG
RNAcentral lists this ribosomal RNA (497 nucleotides) under uncultured bacterium. RNAcentral describes it as "partial 16S ribosomal RNA". It matches the Rfam family "Bacterial small subunit ribosomal RNA", at positions 28 to 507 of the family's 1533-position model. The record is from RNAcentral.